UGGGGAAUUUUCCGCAAUGGGCGAAAGCCUGACGGAGCAAUACCGCGUGAGGGAGGAAGGCUCUUGGGUUGUAAACCUCUUUUCUCAGGGAAGAAAAAAAUGACGGUACCUGAGGAAUAAGCAUCGGCUAACUCCGUGCCAGCAGCCGCGGUAAUACGGAGGAUGCAAGCGUUAUCCGGAAUGAUUGGGCGUAAAGGGUCCGCAGGUGGCAUUGUAAGUCUGCUGUUAAAGAGUCACGCUCAACGUGAU
RNAcentral lists this ribosomal RNA (249 nucleotides) under uncultured Dolichospermum sp. Its description in RNAcentral is "partial 16S ribosomal RNA". It matches the Rfam family "Bacterial small subunit ribosomal RNA", at positions 355 to 618 of the family's 1533-position model. Lineage: Bacteria; Bacillati; Cyanobacteriota; Cyanophyceae; Nostocales; Aphanizomenonaceae. The record is from RNAcentral.